ACUCCUACGGGAGGCAGCAGUGGGGAAUAUUGCACAAUGGGGGAAACCCUGAUGCAGCCAUGCCGCGUGUGUGAAGAAGGCCUUCGGGUUGUAAAGCACUUUCAGUAGGGAGGAAGGUAGUGUAGUUAACACCUGCAUUAUUUGACGUUACCUACAGAAGAAGCACCGGCUAACUCCGUGCCAGCAGCCGCGGUAAGUACGGAGGGUGCGAGCGUUAAUCGGAAUUACUGGGCGUAAAGCGCAUGCAGGCGGCCUGUAAGUCAGAUGUGAAAGCCCGGGGUCUUAACCGUCGGAAUUGCAUUUGAAACUGGCAGGCUAGAGUCUUGUAGAGGGGUUAGAAUUUCGAGGUGUAGCGGUGAAAUGCGUAGAGAUCUGAAGGAAUCCAAGUGGCGAAGCGGCCCCUGGACAAAGACUGACGCUCAGACUGCGAAAGCGUGGGAGCAAACAGGAUUAGAUACCCCUGGUAGACUGUCA
This 474-nucleotide ribosomal RNA is filed under the name uncultured bacterium. RNAcentral's name for it is "bacterial SSU rRNA". It matches the Rfam family "Bacterial small subunit ribosomal RNA", at positions 335 to 802 of the family's 1533-position model. The record is from RNAcentral.